Anolis sagrei ordinatus is the source of this 1019-nucleotide non-coding RNA. NCBI's taxonomy places the organism in Eukaryota, Metazoa, Chordata, Lepidosauria, Squamata, Anolidae. The record is from RefSeq and is a predicted model, not a curated record.
AUGAAGGCUGGAAGGCGUGGCCCUUUCGAGGGAAGACGGCCGGCUGAAGGGAGGGCGCUUUCUUCAAGGACUACAACUCCCAGAAUGCCUUUCACUUACAAGACUUUUGGCGGGAGAAUAGCCACUGGAGUCUAGGGCUGUGAUACUUCUAUCAGAAGGCCCACUUCACAAUCUAUUAUUAUUAUUAUAUAUUAUUCUUCUUCGUAUAGCAUCUACCAAUCCGCAGAAAGGAAGGUCAGUUCCCCCCAAACCCCUCCAGCCAUUAAAUUUCGGCCUAUCAGGUCUGUGUGCCAAGUUUGGCCCAGAUCCAUUAGUGCUCUCUGGAUGUAGGUGAACUACAACUCCCUCAAAUCAAGGUGAAUAUCCCUCCAAAGCCUCCAGUGUUUUUUUUGCUGGUCAUGGGGGCUUUGUUUGCCAAGUAUGGUCAAAUUCCCUCUUUGGUGGAGUUCAGAGUACUCCUUGAUUGCAGGUGAACUAUAAAUCCCAGGAUCUAUAACUCCAAAGUACACAGACGAAUUCCCCUCAAAACUCACCAAUAUUCAAAUUUGGGCAUAUCAGGUAUGCAUGCCAAGUUUGGUCCAGAUCCAUCAUUGGGUUCACAGUGCUCCCUGGAUGUAGGUGAACUACAACUCCCUCAAAUCAAGGCUUUUGAGCGCCCAUGGAGGAGGAGGAGGCCUGCUAUUCUUCCCUUUUAGAUGGUCCAGGCCUUUCAGCAUCUGUGACGGAGGUCCAAUUCAUAGGAGCCCCCGAUGGUGCAGUGGGUUAAACCCUUAUGCUGGUUGGACUGAAGACCAAUAGGUCACAGGUUCGAAUCUGUGGAGAGUGCAGAUGAGCUCUCUCUGUCAGCUCCAGCUCCGUGCAAGGACAUGAGAGAAGCUUCCCACAAGGAUGGUCAAACAUCAAAACAUCUGGGCGUCCCCUGGGCAACAUCCUUGCAGAUGGCCAAUUCUCUCACACCAGAAGCGACUUGCAAUUUUUCAGGUUGCUCCUGACACGAAAAAAAAUAUUACAGACCUCUU